Molecule: ribosomal RNA, 253 nt
Filed under: uncultured bacterium
Lineage: Bacteria
Description: partial 16S ribosomal RNA
Rfam family: Bacterial small subunit ribosomal RNA
Source: RNAcentral
CACGUAGGGCGCGAGCGUUGUCCGGAAUUAUUGGGCGUAAAGAGCUCGUAGGCGGCCUGUUGCGUCCGCUGUGAAAGCCCGGGGCUUAACCCCGGGUCGGCAGUGGAUACGGGCAGGCUAGAGGUAGGUAGGGGAGAAUGGAAUUCCCGGUGUAGCGGUGAAAUGCGCAGAUAUCGGGAGGAACACCGGUGGCGAAGGCGGCAUCCUGGACCGGCAUUGACGCUGAUGAGCGAAAGCCAGGGGAGCAAACGGG